This 253-nucleotide ribosomal RNA is filed under the name uncultured bacterium. RNAcentral describes it as "partial 16S ribosomal RNA". It matches the Rfam family "Bacterial small subunit ribosomal RNA", at positions 524 to 776 of the family's 1533-position model. The record is from RNAcentral.
UACAGAGGGGGCAAGCGUUGUUCGGAAUUACUGGGCGGAAAGGGCGCGUAGGCGGCCUGUUAAGUCGAACGUGAAAUCCCCGGGCUCAACCCGGGAACUGCGUCCGAUACUGGCAGGCUUGAAUUCGGGAGAGGGAUGUGGAAUUCCAGGUGUAGCGGUGAAAUGCGUAGAUAUCUGGAGGAACACCGGUGGCGAAGGCGGCAUCCUGGACCGAUAUUGACGCUGAUGCGCGAAAGCCAGGGGAGCAAACGGG